RNAcentral lists this ribosomal RNA (504 nucleotides) under uncultured bacterium. Its description in RNAcentral is "partial 16S ribosomal RNA". It matches the Rfam family "Bacterial small subunit ribosomal RNA", at positions 28 to 523 of the family's 1533-position model. The record is from RNAcentral.
GUUGAACGCUGGCGGCAGGCCUAACACAUGCAAGUCGAGCGGUAACACAGGGAGCUUGCUCCCGGGUGACGAGCGGCGGACGGGUGAGUAAUGUCUGGGAAACUGCCUGAUGGAGGGGGAUAACUACUGGAAACGGUAGCUAAUACCGCAUAACGUCGCAAGACCAAAGAGGGGGACCUUCGGGCCUCUUGCCAUCAGAUGUGCCCAGAUGGGAUUAGCUAGUAGGUGGGGUAACGGCUCACCUAGGCGACGAUCCCUAGCUGGUCUGAGAGGAUGACCAGCCACACUGGAACUGAGACACGGUCCAGACUCCUACGGGAGGCAGCAGUGGGGAAUAUUGCACAAUGGGCGCAAGCCUGAUGCAGCCACGCCGCGUGUAUGAAGAAGGCCUUCGGGUUGUAAAGUACUUUCAGCGGGGAGGAAGGUGUUGAGGUUAAUAACCUCAGCAAUUGACGUUACCCGCAGAAGAAGCACCGGCUAACUCCGUGCCAGCAGCCGCAGUAA